Molecule: long non-coding RNA, 236 nt
Filed under: Mytilus galloprovincialis (Mediterranean mussel)
Lineage: Eukaryota; Metazoa; Mollusca; Bivalvia; Mytilida; Mytilidae
Source: RNAcentral
UUCCGUGUAAAACGAAAGUGGCCGCAUUCGUUUUCAUCCAAAAUAUUGAAAUGGAAGUUGUAUUUGAUGAUAAUACAUAACAGUAUAUAUAAAGAUUCAGGAUGAACACGAAUGCGGCCACUUUCAUUUUUGACAAAAACCAUCUGAAAAGUGACAUUAUUUCGCAAAUUUGGUAGAUUUUUCAUAUUUGAGCUUAAAUCGGAUCGUUUUUAAUGACUUAAUAAGUUAAAAUCUUU